AACGAACGCUGGCGGCAUGCCUAACACAUGCAAGUCGAACGAGACCUUCGGGUCUAGUGGCGCACGGGUGCGUAACGCGUGGGAACCUGCCCUUAGGUUCGGAAUAACUCCCCGAAAGGGGUGCUAAUACCGGAUAAUGUCUUCGGACCAAAGAUUUAUCGCCCUUGGAUGGGCCCGCGUUGGUUUAGCUAGUCGGUAGGGUAAAAGCCUACCAAGGCGUCGAUCCCUAGCUGGUCUGAGAGAAUGAUCAGCCACACUGGGGCUGAGACGCGGUCCAGACUCCUACGGGAGGCAGCAGUGGGUAAUCUUGGACAAUGGGCGAAAGCCUGAUCCAGCUAUGCCGCGUGAGUGAUGAAGGCCUUAGGGUUGUACAGCUCUUUUACCCGGGAUGAUAAUGACAGUACCGGGAGAAUAAGCUCCGGCUAACUCCGUG
This 433-nucleotide ribosomal RNA is filed under the name uncultured bacterium. RNAcentral describes it as "partial 16S ribosomal RNA". It matches the Rfam family "Bacterial small subunit ribosomal RNA", at positions 29 to 507 of the family's 1533-position model. The record is from RNAcentral.